This is a long non-coding RNA of Pogoniulus pusillus (Red-fronted tinkerbird), 826 nucleotides long. RefSeq lists it as uncharacterized. NCBI's taxonomy places the organism in Eukaryota, Metazoa, Chordata, Aves, Piciformes, Lybiidae. The transcript has 4 exons. The record is from RefSeq and is a predicted model, not a curated record.
GUCCUCUCCUAUUCCCUCACAUCCUUCUCUGUGGCUGAGGGAUCAUUGGGUGAUGGACCAGCUGCUGUGCUUUAGCCCCCUGGACAAGGCUUAUGUUUAAAAACUACUCCUGGCCUUAUUUUUCUUGGCAAGUGGCAGCCUUCCCCAGGGUGUUGCUCCUGGUCUCAGCUGCCCUGUACCUGAGCUGGGUGAUGCUCUGUUGGGUGACUACUCCUGUUGUCAUCUGUGAGGUCAGUAGUGAAGAGAGCUGACCAGCAAUGGAAUUCUGCUCUUCAGACAGAGGCCUGAACAGCAUUUGUGUUGAAAUCAUCUGCUCUGUUUGGAGACUGGAGGAAAACUCCUUUCUGUACAGCUGGGCAGCAUUCCAAAGGGGAAGGAAAAAAAAAAACCUACCAGUUACAGCUUGAAGUGAAAGCUCACCCAAACCAAUAAUAAACCAAUCAGAACAACUGCCUCUUCUACUCUGUGGCCGUUAAAAGAGCACUUGUACGCUGCUUUAAGUGAGCCUGACCACUCCCUGCCUGUUGAAUGCACCUUUGUGACUGGAAGGUGCAUUCAUUCUUCUUGCAGCACUGCCUGUGAAGCCAGUUUUAUGGAUUAAAGACUUGGAGCAUAAUGUAGGCACCUGUCGAUUUAGGGGAGCCUAAAAAUAUCUCCCUGACUCUCACACGUUUUGCAGCAACUUGGAGCAUAUGUACACUUCACAUAUCUUUUAGCUUGGGUUCUGUGGUGGGGGGGUGGUGUUUUUUUUCCUCUCCCAGUCCUUGUCUGUCACCUCAGCCAGCACAACAAGCUGUAAUCUGAAUAAUAAAGUACAUCUUGUUCA